RNAcentral lists this ribosomal RNA (773 nucleotides) under Salmonella enterica subsp. enterica serovar Paratyphi A. RNAcentral describes it as "bacterial SSU rRNA". It matches the Rfam family "Bacterial small subunit ribosomal RNA", at positions 1 to 763 of the family's 1533-position model. Lineage: Bacteria; Pseudomonadati; Pseudomonadota; Gammaproteobacteria; Enterobacterales; Enterobacteriaceae. The record is from RNAcentral.
AAAUUGAAGAGUUUGAUCAUGGCUCAGAUUGAACGCUGGCGGCAGGCCUAACACAUGCAAGUCGAACGGUAACAGGAAGCAGCUUGCUGCUUUGCUGACGAGUGGCGGACGGGUGAGUAAUGUCUGGGAAACUGCCUGAUGGAGGGGGAUAACUACUGGAAACGGUGGCUAAUACCGCAUAACGUCGCAAGACCAAAGAGGGGGACCUUCGGGCCUCUUGCCAUCAGAUGUGCCCAGAUGGGAUUAGCUUGUUGGUGAGGUAACGGCUCACCAAGGCGACGAUCCCUAGCUGGUCUGAGAGGAUGACCAGCCACACUGGAACUGAGACACGGUCCAGACUCCUACGGGAGGCAGCAGUGGGGAAUAUUGCACAAUGGGCGCAAGCCUGAUGCAGCCAUGCCGCGUGUAUGAAGAAGGCCUUCGGGUUGUAAAGUACUUUCAGCGGGGAGGAAGGUGUUGUGGUUAAUAACCGCAGCAAUUGACGUUACCCGCAGAAGAAGCACCGGCUAACUCCGUGCCAGCAGCCGCGGUAAUACGGAGGGUGCAAGCGUUAAUCGGAAUUACUGGGCGUAAAGCGCACGCAGGCGGUCUGUCAAGUCGGAUGUGAAAUCCCCGGGCUCAACCUGGGAACUGCAUUCGAAACUGGCAGGCUUGAGUCUUGUAGAGGGGGGUAGAAUUCCAGGUGUAGCGGUGAAAUGCGUAGAGAUCUGGAGGAAUACCGGUGGCGAAGGCGGCCCCCUGGACAAAGACUGACGCUCAGGUGCGAAAGCGUG